AGAAGGCUUGGCCGUCCUGGGGAGGGCACCGGGGCAAGGAACAGAGGAGGGGUGACUGCGGGCACUGAAGAAGUCAUGCUGUUGAGAAACAAGUCCUCGCCUUAAGGAGCCGAACAGAGAAGGCUGUUUGGGAGGAGGCCUAGGGGAGACGUGUGCGGCAGUUGCCACCAGAAGCAUAAGAAAUGCCACGGGCAGCGGCCUGCUGUGCUCUGCUCCGCCCAGGCCUCCGCCCGGGUCUUCCCCUGGCAUCAGGAAUGGCUGUGGCUGUCCCUGCUACCGAGACUUAAACCCAGUUCAUAAUUUCCUUUCCUAAUUAGGCAUGGGAACGAUGGAGACAAUUAUUAAUAAUAUGCUGAGUCUUUUUUUAAAGUGCCCCCUCAGAGCCGAGCCUGAGAACAGUGUUGUUGAUGACGAGCAGCCGCACGGCCACCACGCCGGGCUCCGUGCCCAGGACUCCAGGCAGAACUCAAUAAGUCAGAAGAGUCACGGCUUCAAUGUCACCUCCUCAGAGGCUUUCCUGAUGCUCAGGGGGAUGCUGCCUCCCCCUUCACACACUCUCUCCCGUGUCAUCCUGCCUUGGUUUCCCCAAAGCGUUUCUCUCCGCAGUCUGCAGUGGCCCCUGGAUCUGCUUGCUUGUUUUUCGCUGUGUAGCAGUGACAGGGGUUACCAAGCAGGAGUUUGCUGCCGGCGUGUGUAGAAGUCAACACGACUGCACGCGGGGUUCGAGAAAAAGUAAAAGAGCUUCGUUGCAAGGUCAACCAGCAAGGAAAUGGGAGGCUCAAAUCCGUCUCCUCAGUGUGGCAGCCAAGACGGGUUGUAGAGGGUAGGGGGUGGCUGGAAGACAGUCUUCGUUGUCGAUGGACCUGAGCUUGCCCGGGGUGCCAGCUGUUAGCAUAUACCCGCCGCGUGUUCUGCGUGUUCGGCGUAGUUGCACCUGCGGCCCAGUUCCGGCUUAGCUACGCGUGCAGAACCAGCCCCAGGAGGGAAUUAGAGAAGCUGAAUGACAACAGCUGCUGUGUCCUCUCGCCGCCGGGGAGCAGGUUGGCGUUAGGUUCACAGGUGCACGACCCCGAGCCUCCCUGUGCUGUCCUGCUCCUCCGCUCCCCAGCGC
Long non-coding RNA from Talpa occidentalis (Iberian mole), 1111 nucleotides. RefSeq lists it as uncharacterized. The transcript has 3 exons. Lineage: Eukaryota; Metazoa; Chordata; Mammalia; Eulipotyphla; Talpidae. The record is from RefSeq and is a predicted model, not a curated record.